Molecule: non-coding RNA, 22 nt
Filed under: Arabidopsis thaliana (thale cress)
Lineage: Eukaryota; Viridiplantae; Streptophyta; Magnoliopsida; Brassicales; Brassicaceae
Source: RNAcentral
GGUAAAAGUGCAUUCGGUCAUA